UACGUAGGGGUCGAGCGUUGUCCGGAGUUACUGGGCGUAAAGCGCAUGCAGGCGGCUCAUUACGCAUGGCGUGAAAGCCCCCGGCUCAACCGGGGAGGGUCGUCGUGAACGGGUGAGCUUGAGGGUAUCAGGGGCUGGUGGAAUUCCGGGUGUAGCGGUGGAAUGCGCAGAUAUCCGGAGGAACACCAGUGGCGAAAGCGGCCUCCUGGUCCAUUCCUGACACUCAGACGCGAAAGCUAGGGUAGCAAACGGGAUUAGAUACCCGUGUAGUCCCUGA
This 277-nucleotide ribosomal RNA is filed under the name uncultured prokaryote. RNAcentral describes it as "partial 16S ribosomal RNA". It matches the Rfam family "Bacterial small subunit ribosomal RNA", at positions 524 to 800 of the family's 1533-position model. The record is from RNAcentral.